ACCCUUACAUAUCUUCUUCAACAUGGCCAAUGAAAGAGAUUAUUUGUCCACAGAGAUUGUCAGCCGUGGGAUAGAGUCCUCCGGCCCCAAUGCUGGAUCUCUCACAUUCUCUGUCAGGGUAAGGAGAAGGUUGCCGGACUUUCUCCAAUCGGUAAACCUCAAGUACGUUAAGUUGGGCUACCAUUACCUUAUCAACCAUGCCAUAUACUUGGCCACCAUACCAGUUUUGGUGCUGGUUUUUAGUGCUGAGGUCGGGAGUCUUAGUAGGGAAGAGCUCUGGAGGAAGCUAUGGGAAGAUGCUCGUUAUGAUAUUGUUACUGUUCUUUCUUUCUUCGCUGUUUUCGUCUUUACUGUUUCUGCUUACUUCACGUCUCGCCCAAGGUCUAUUUAUCUCCUGGAUUUUGCAUGUUAUCGCCCUCAUGAUGAUCUCAAGGUGAGCAACGAUGAGUUCAUCGAGCUGGCAAGAAAGACAGGAAAGUAUGAUGAGGCAAGCCUGGAAUUCCAGACGAAAAUUUUACAAUCAUCAGGACUAGGAGACGAAACCUACAUCCCUAAAGCAGUCAUGCGGCAAGAGAAUUGUGCAACCAUGAAGGAAGGUCGUUUGGAGGCCUCAACAGUAAUCUUUGGGGCACUUGAUGAGCUUUUUGAGAAGACCAGAGUCCGUCCAAAGGACGUUGGGGUCCUAGUAGUGAACUGCAGCAUCUUUAACCCAACCCCAUCUCUUUCUGCCAUGGUCAUAAAUCACUACAAGAUGAGAGGUAACAUCCUCAGCUAUAAUCUUGGUGGCAUGGGCUGCAGUGCUGGGAUUAUAGCUGUGGACCUGGCCCGUGACAUGUUGCAGGCCAAUCCCAACAAUUAUGCUGUAGUGGUUAGCACUGAGAUGGUGGGCUAUAACUGGUACCCGGGCCAGGACCGGUCCAUGAUUAUGCCCAAUUGCUUUUUUAGGAUGGGCUGCUCCGCUGUCCUACUGUCCAACCGGCGGCUAGACUAUCCGCGUGCCAAGUACCGGCUUGAACACAUCGUGAGGACCCAUAAAGGAGCUGAUGAUCGCAGUUUCAGGUUUGCUAGUUUCGUGCUAAUUAUCUCCAUUUUGAAGUAGAUUUCUGAUCUGAUUUGAUGUUGUAGUUCGAACCCAUUAAUAAAACUGAUGAAAUUAGUAGGAAAAUUAUGAAUUUGUGAUCUCUAAUUAAUGGUUGCUUAGUGUAGGUAGAUAUGAUUUGAGUAAAUGUUACUUUCAUGAGGUCCACAGACAAGUGAGUGGAUAUUUCGUUGGCUUUUCUGCUUAAUAGCCAUUAGCCAUCACUUGGGGACCAUUUGAAUUUUCCAAUAAUUUCAUUUCUAUCGUGGACUAACUUCAAUUUCCAUGUAGAAAUUAGAAGGAACCAAAUCAUAAUUUUAGUGAUGCUAAUUAUCUUUUAAUUAAUUCUAAAUCAAAUUUGUUGGUGGAUGUUAUUCAAUGAUUAGGUGCGUUUACCAGGAAGAGGAUGACCAAAAAUUCAAGGGAUUGAAAGUAAGCAAACAACUCAUGGAAAUAGGAGGAGAUGCACUGAAAACUAACAUCACCACGCUAGGACCUCUAGUCCUUCCCUUCUCAGAGCAGAUUCUCUUCUUUGGGACCCUGGUUUGGAGGCACUUAUUUGGCAAGAAAAAUGGAUCUUUACCAUCACUACCACCCAAGCCCUACAUCCCUGACUACAAGCUAGCAUUUGAGCACUUCUGUGUCCAUGCAGCCAGCAAAAUCGUGCUUGAUGAGAUACAGAGAAAUCUUGGACUGAGUGACAAGAACAUAGAGGCAUCAAGAAUGGCACUGCACAGGUUUGGGAACACUUCUAGCAGCAGCAUAUGGUACGAGCUGGCUUAUUUGGAAGCUAAGGAAAGAGUGAAGAGAGGAGACAGGGUUUGGCAACUUGCUUUUGGUUCUGGUUUCAAGUGCAACAGCCUGGUUUGGAAGUCCAUGAGACGAGUGAAAAAGCCUUCCAGGAAUCCGUGGCUUGACUGCAUUGACAGAUAUCCUGUGACUUCAUUUACAGGUUAGGAAUCCAUGGAUUUUCGUUUUCUUUUUCCUUUUUCUCCUUAAUAUUCCAAAGUUGAUGAAUUAAAGUUAAUACAUUUGAAUUAAAGUUAAUACAUUUGGAGGUAAUUAAUUCCAGAUAAAUAUUAUAUUCAGAAUUUCUCUUCAGAAAGAUAAAGAUAUUUAUAUUUGUGUCUUUGAAGGAAAUGGGUGAUUAGAUCAGGUGUCACCAGGAAUUAUGUUCACUAUACAUACUCAGGCUGCUUAGAGAAUGGGUGUUUCUGAAUUCUGAUUGAAUGUUGGUGUUGCUGCUGGUGAAUCUAGGUUUGUGUAAAAGUUCCUGUCUUUAUCUUAAUGUGAGAGAAGGAAAAAUAUUGAAUGUCAAGUUCCUGUAAUAUUCAACAUACUUCUAAAAUUGAAUUUAUUGGUUUGGUGGGAUUGAUAGAUUCAAUGGUUUGACCAAUAAAACCCAGUUAGGUAUAUAGUUUAAAAAGAACAAAACAAGUAAUAAAUUACUAAUAAAUUUAGUUCAGUGGUAAUCGAAUUAUAGUGAGAGCCCAUUAUAAUAAAAAAAGGUAAAUAAAAAAUAGAUUAAUAGUUUAAGAUUAAAAAAAAAAACUAAAUAAUAAAACUAAACCAAAUAAUAUGGAAUUACUUAACCAACUGAUUAAAAUAAAAUGAAUAAUCAUGCAAAAAAUGCAAGAUACAAGCUGUUGUUGCUGCCAGCAAGCUAAUAUACACAAACCUCUACCAGUUGUUGCCAUAUUAUAAGAAACAGAUAUUAAUCACACCCCAUAAUCUCCUCAUGAUCUUAUCGUUUUUCACACUCUUAGCAUGCAAUUAAAGAUGUGAUCUAUAUAAGAAUGAAAGAGAUCCGGCACACAAGAAAGUUUGCAAGAAAAACACCUACACUCUGAAGAGAUUGCCAACUGCAUGCGAGGUGGGUUUGACGGAUUGCCUAAGUGAUAUUUGGAGCCUUCUUAACAGAGUGAGGCAUUUGAAGGCAAAUUUCAUUCGUCAGGAUGAUGCCGAUCAAUUAGUUGAAGGGCUUGGCCUAGGGUUUUCGCCAGGUCCUAGCUCCAAAGGAUCGUAUUGAUAUUGUAAUAGUGGCGAAUGGUGAUGCCGUUGGAAAUUGAUAGUUACAGCACUUUUGAUAAGUGAUGUGGGAAAUCUAAUUCUAAUUUCUAUUUCUUGCCUGGAACUUGAUGAAUAGGUAGUGCUGCUGCUACAAGGUUGGAGAAAUUUUUACGUAAAUUUAGAAUUUAAAUUCAAAACCUCACAAUUUUAAAAAUAACUUCAAUACCAUUAAAUUAAAAGUUUUUUUUUUUCUUAUAGUUAAAAAAAUAGACAUUUAUGUAUCAAUUAUUUCUCUUAAUUAAUGAAGGAAAUACUAUUUUUUGUUCAAA
Molecule: unclassified non-coding RNA, 3417 nt
Filed under: Hevea brasiliensis (rubber tree)
Lineage: Eukaryota; Viridiplantae; Streptophyta; Magnoliopsida; Malpighiales; Euphorbiaceae
Source: RNAcentral